GACGAACGCUGGCGGCGUGCUUAACACAUGCAAGUCGAACGGAAAGGCCCUGCUUUUGUGGGGGGCUCGAGUGGCGAACGGGUGAGUAACACGUGAGUAACCUGCCCUUGACUUUGGGAUAACUUCAGGAAACUGGGGCUAAUACCGGAUAGGAGCUCCUGCUGCAUGGUGGGGGUUGGAAAGUUUCGGCGGUUGGGGAUGGACUCGCGGCUUAUCAGCUUGUUGGUGGGGUAGUGGCUUACCAAGGCUUUGACGGGUAGCCGGCCUGGGAGGAUGACCGGCCACAUUGGGACUGAGAUACGGCCCAGACUCCUACGGGAGGCAGAAGUGGGGAAUAUUGCACUAUGGGCGGAAGCCUGAUGCAGCAACGCCGCGUGCGGGAUGACGGCCUUCGGGUUGUAAACCGCUUUCGCCUGUGACGAAGCGUGAGUGACGGUAAUGGGUAAAGAAGCACCGGCUAACUACGUG
This 468-nucleotide ribosomal RNA is filed under the name uncultured bacterium. Its description in RNAcentral is "partial 16S ribosomal RNA". It matches the Rfam family "Bacterial small subunit ribosomal RNA", at positions 28 to 507 of the family's 1533-position model. The record is from RNAcentral.